CAAAUGAAUUGACGGGGCCCGCACAAGCGGUGGAGCAUGUGGUUAAUUCGAAGCAACGCGAAGAACCUUACCAGGUCUUGACAUCCCGAUGCUAUUUCUAGAGAUAGAAAGUUACUUCGGUACAUCGGUGACAGGUGGUGCAUGGUUGUCGUCAGCUCGUGUCGUGAGAUGUUGGGUUAAGUCCCGCAACGAGCGCAACCCCUAUUGUUAGUUGCCAUCAUUCAGUUGGGCACUCUAGCGAGACUGCCGGUAAUAAACCGGAGGAAGGUGGGGAUGACGUCAAGUCCUCAUGGCCUUUAUGACCAGGGCUACACACGUACUACAAUGGCCGGUACAAAGGGCAGCCACUUAGCGAUAAGGAGCCAAUCCCGUAAAGCCGGUCUCAGUCCGGAUUGGAGUCUGCAACUCGACUCCAUGAAGUUGGAAUCGCUAGUAAUCGCAGAUCAGCACGCUGCGGUGAAUACGUUCCCGGGCCUU
This 477-nucleotide ribosomal RNA is filed under the name uncultured Streptococcus sp. RNAcentral describes it as "bacterial SSU rRNA". It matches the Rfam family "Bacterial small subunit ribosomal RNA", at positions 902 to 1382 of the family's 1533-position model. Lineage: Bacteria; Bacillati; Bacillota; Bacilli; Lactobacillales; Streptococcaceae. The record is from RNAcentral.